GAUGAAGAACGUAGCGAAAUGCGAUAAGUAAUGUGAAUUGCAGAAUUCAGUGAAUCAUCGAAUCUUUGAACGCAUCUUGCGCUCCUUGGUAUUCUGAGGAGCAUGCCUGUUUGAGUGUCAUUAAAUUCUCAACUACACUGACUUUGAAUUGGUGUGGCUUGGAUUUGGGGGGAAAAUUGUUGUGGGCUUUUUGUAUAGUCUGCUCCCCUGAAAUUGAUUAGCGGUACCUUUGUGGAACUGUCAACAGGUGUGAUAAUUAUCUACAUCUUAGACAUCUGCUGGAAUGCUGCUCUCUAAACCUUACUUGUAUUGACAAUCUUGACCUCAAAUCAGGUAGGACUACCCGCUGAACUUAAGCAUAUCAAUAAGCGGAGGA
Molecule: unclassified non-coding RNA, 376 nt
Filed under: soil metagenome
Description: partial contains 5.8S ribosomal RNA, internal transcribed spacer 2, and large subunit ribosomal RNA
Rfam family: 5.8S ribosomal RNA (bases 1-120)
Source: RNAcentral